RNAcentral lists this ribosomal RNA (438 nucleotides) under uncultured bacterium. RNAcentral describes it as "partial 16S ribosomal RNA". It matches the Rfam family "Bacterial small subunit ribosomal RNA", at positions 28 to 507 of the family's 1533-position model. The record is from RNAcentral.
AACGAACGCUGGCGGCAUGCCUAACACAUGCAAGUCGAACGAGACCUUCGGGUCUAGUGGCGCACGGGGGCGUAACGCGGGGGAACCUGCCUUUAGGUUCGGAAUAACUCAGAGAAAUAUGAGCUAAUACCGGAGGAUGUAUUCGGACCAAAGAUUUGUCGCCUGUAGUUGGGCCCGGGUUGGAUCAGCUAGUUGGUGGGGUAAAGGCCUACCAAGGCGUCGAUCGGUAGCUGGUCGGAGAGGGUGACCAGCCCCGCUGGGACUGAGAUGCGGCCCAGACUCGUACGGGAGGCAGCGGUGGGGAGUAGUACACAGUGGGGGGGAGGCUGAUGCAGCAACGCCGCGUGCGUGAUGACGGCCUUGGUGUUGUGAACCGCAUUCGCUUGUUACGAUGCGUGAGUGACGGUAACGGGAGAAGAAGCACCGGCUAACUACGUG